UCAAUCUCCUUACUCCAAAACCAUACUCAUGCUAAAAAUUCCUCUCUAAUUUGUAUACAAGUUUUGAGUAUGAGUAAGGUUUUAGAGAACGGAGUAUGAGUUUGAGCACAGAGUAACCUCCAGGCCUGGUCCCCUGGCUCAUCCUUGCAGCGACGCGGAGUACACGAAGCAAAACGGGGACAGGGAACCAGGCUAGGUGUACAAAAACACAUAUGUAUGAUGUUAAUAAAAAAAGAAAGAAACGACGAGAGAACGGUUUGUGUAUACUACGGCCUAAAUGUACGAUCCUCUCCCAUUCUUGGUUCUAUGCCUAUGAGCGGACUCUGAAUGGUAACCGUGGCUUGAGACGAUGAUCAUGAUGUUCAAGUUGAUGUUUCUGACGAAGACGAUUAACUGUGGUACCCGUAUUAUUUUUGAAGACGUUUUAAGACUCAGGGGUAUGUCAUCGAUUUGAAAGAACGAUCUUUUCUGAAGAAUGUCUAAGAUAUAUUGGCAUCUCAUUCUGGAGUUUAACUUAAUUAACAUAAAAAGUUUUUAAGUGCAUGUUUGUAAACAUGUAAAUGAAGUAGAAAACACACCAAGAACCAGGAAUGCCAGGACCUAAGCUAAAACUUUCUGAUUGACCAUGUUGACAUCAACACUGAACAUUUGGAACAGAAAACAAUCUACAGAGAUACAUGUACUGAAGAAAUACCUGCUGUUGAAAAAAAACCCUAGCUAAGACAUGUUUGUUUUUAUUUACAAACAACAUGAUCAGGUAGAAACAACAAUAUAACUCAAAUUGCUGCAUCUGUUGGAGCACCCAUCUUUAGCAGAAAUUUUACUUGAAUUUACAGCAUUUCCAUCAAGGCAUCAAAGCAUGAAUUGAUCGUUGUAACUUACAUGUAACAUCCCUUGCAAGAUUAUUUAACCCUUAUGAGAAAUCACAAAAUGCAGUGAAUGACUUGAAAUUUAGACCUUUGCUCAACACUAAGGCCCAGUGAGGAGUGAAGGUUCUUUAGCGUGCCAAUGCCUGCUCUUACAUGGGACCUCAACUUUUACUCUCUCAUCCAAGAC
Saccostrea echinata is the source of this 1056-nucleotide long non-coding RNA. RefSeq lists it as uncharacterized. The record is from RefSeq and is a predicted model, not a curated record. NCBI's taxonomy places the organism in Eukaryota, Metazoa, Mollusca, Bivalvia, Ostreida, Ostreidae. The transcript is spliced from 3 exons.